AUAGUUGCAACCAUAUUUCUUUUAGAAGAUGACAGAAACGUCCAUCUCCACUGACAAAAUCAUGCCAAGAUCUCUAGUUUGAAAAACCUGUUAUGGGGUCCAAUAAAACGAAGCUCUCAUGGGAGGAAUGAAAAUCAUGUCUUUACUCAUGUAUCGUUCCAAUUAAAUUUUGAAACUUAAUAAAAAUUAAUAUAUAUGUUUCUCACACAGC
This 211-nucleotide long non-coding RNA is filed under the name Lupinus angustifolius (narrow-leaved blue lupine). Its description in RNAcentral is "long non-coding RNA (LANG_LNC000945)". The record is from RNAcentral. Lineage: Eukaryota; Viridiplantae; Streptophyta; Magnoliopsida; Fabales; Fabaceae.